RNAcentral lists this ribosomal RNA (1484 nucleotides) under uncultured bacterium. RNAcentral's name for it is "bacterial SSU rRNA". It matches the Rfam family "Bacterial small subunit ribosomal RNA". The record is from RNAcentral.
AGAGUUUGAUCCUGGCUCAGGAUGAACGCUAGCGGCAGGCUUAAUACAUGCAAGUCGAGGGGCAGCGCGGGUAGCAAUAUCUGGCGGCGACCGGCGCACGGGCGUAACACGUAUGCAACUUACCUUUAACUAGAGAAUAGCCCCGAGAAAUCGGGAUUAAUACUCCAUAACAUUAUGAAAUGGCAUCAUUUUAUAAUUAAAGCUCCGGCGGUUUUAGAUGGGCAUGCGCGACAUUAGCUAGUUGGUGAGGUAACGGCUCACCAAGGCUUCGAUGUCUAGGGGUCCUGAGAGGGUUAUCCCCCACACUGGUACUGAGACACGGACCAGACUCCUACGGGAGGCAGCAGUAAGGAAUAUUGGGCAAUGGACGCAAGUCUGACCCAGCCAUGCCGCGUGAAGGACGACGGCCCUAUGGGUUGUAAACUUCUUUUGUACGGGAAAAAACUCUCGAACGUGUUCGAGACUGAUGGUACCGUAAGAAUAAGGAUCGGCUAACUCCGUGCCAGCAGCCGCGGUAAUACGGAGGAUCCAAGCGUUAUCCGGAUUCAUUGGGUUUAAAGGGUGCGUAGGCGGAUUAAUAAGUCAGUGGUGAAAGCCUUCAGCUUAACUGAAGAACUGCCAUUGAUACUGUAUAGCUGGAAUAUGGUUGAGGUAGGUGGAAUGUGUUGUGUAGCGGUGAAAUGCAUAGAUAUGACACAGAACGCCGAUUGCGAAGGCAGCUUACUAAGCCAUUACUGACGCUCAGGGACGAAAGCGUGGGGAGCGAACAGGAUUAGAUACCCUGGUAGUCCACGCUGUAAACGAUGAUUACUCGUUGUCGGCGAUAUACAGUCGGUGGCUGAGCGAAAGCGAUAAGUGAUCCACCUGGGGAGUACGAUCGCAAGGUUGAAACUCAAAGGAAUUGACGGGGGCCCGCACAAGCGGAGGAACAUGUGGUUUAAUUCGAUGAUACGCGAGGAACCUUACCUGGGCUUAAAUGUAGGCUGCAUUCGGCUGAAAGGCUGAUUCCCUUCGGGGCUGCUUACAAGGUGCUGCAUGGUUGUCGUCAGCUCGUGCCGUGAGGUGUCGGGUUAAGUCCCAUAACGAGCGCAACCCUUAUCGUUAGUUGCCAGCAGGUCAUGCUGGGGACUCUAACGAAACUGCCCGCGUAAGCGUGGAGGAAGGUGGGGAUGACGUCAAAUCAGCACGGCCCUUAUGUCCAGGGCUACACACGUGUUACAAUGGCCGGUACAAAGGGCAGCCACCCCGCGAGGGGGAGCGAAUCUCAAAAGCCGGUCUCAGUUCGGAUCGGAGUCUGCAACCCGACUUCGUGAAGCUGGAUUCGCUAGUAAUCGCAUAUCAGCCAUGAUGCGGUGAAUACGUUCCCGGGCCUUGUACACACCGCCCGUCAAACAAUGGAAGCUGGGGGUACCUGAAGUCUGUAACCGCAAGGAGCGGCCUAGGGUAAAACUAGUAACUGGUGUUAAGUCGUAACAAGGUAACCA